Molecule: small RNA, 1047 nt
Filed under: Pongo abelii (Sumatran orangutan)
Lineage: Eukaryota; Metazoa; Chordata; Mammalia; Primates; Hominidae
Description: retained intron
Source: RNAcentral
ACAGAGCAGCCUGGCAGUGUCCAAGCAACAAGCCUCGGCCCCUCCUUCCUGCACCCUGGGGCUCCUGAAACUCACCUGGGUAAAAAAGAUACAGUAAAGACAUAAAUACCACGUUUGACAAAUGGAAAAAAAGGAGUGUCCAGAAAAGAGUAGCAGCAGUGAGAAAGAGCUGCCGAGACGUGGAUCCAGUAGGAAUGUAGAUGCAUCCGAACUCAUAAUACUACAAGGACCACGGAAACUGUUGGUUGACAAUAGCUUACAGGAACUGCAAUACCCAAAAACUGGAAUUUUUAUUCAGGCUGAGGCCUGUGUGACAGAUGAUACGGUAUACAGGGAGCUACCCCGUGUUUCUGAGAUCCGUUAUGACAUCUCACAUUUUUUCCAAGAAGAUGAUGAGACAGAGGCAGAGCCAUUCUUGUUCCAUGCUGUUCCUGAGAGUCAACUAUGUGGGUGGGACAUUCCCAGGUAAGAAAAGCUAUUCUGUUGGAAAACUAUUGGGCGCUGUGUCUCAAUAUCACAGAGGAACAUGAGAAUUAGAGGAAUUUGGGUGUUUUUCAUCGAACUCAGGGGAGAAUGAAUGAGCUUAUGCAAUAUUAGCAAUGAAUCCAGAAAUUUUUGAAACAAACCUUAAGCAAUGACGUUUUUUUCCUUGGAGGUGUCUAGAGAACCUAUACACAAAAAGGCAAUGAGCAAUGCAAUCGAAGACCAGUGGGUUAUUGGUUAAGCUGUUACUCAAUGCAUAAAACCAACCUAAUUCUCUAGGAAACUGGCUGAUGAUGAGGCUGAAGGCCGCAGUGGGGUCCUGAGGUUUAACACCAGGGAGGGGAGAAUGCAUCUAUUUGUAGGGUAUGCCAAUUUCCAAGGGUUGAAUAUCCCCAUCAUGGCAGAUUUCAAACUACCAACGUGAAGCCCCUGAUGAGGGAGUUGAAAGAACACAUGCAGAAGUCUGUCAUCCUACUUUCACCACACAGGUACAAGAGACAUAAAUAACCUCAAGGGCAUAGACUGCUGAAAAGUGUAGAAAAAUGACUGGAAAUUGGUAUGUUU